This is a long non-coding RNA of Oncorhynchus tshawytscha (Chinook salmon), 473 nucleotides long. NCBI's taxonomy places the organism in Eukaryota, Metazoa, Chordata, Actinopteri, Salmoniformes, Salmonidae. The record is from Ensembl.
ACUGGUACAGAGUCAAUGUGGAGGCUAUAUACAGGGGGUACUGGUACAGAGACAAUGUGGAGGCUAUAUACAAGGGGUACCGGUACAGAGUCAAUGUGGAGGCUAUAUACAGGGGGUACAGGUACAGAGUCAAUGUGGAGACUAUAUACAGGGGGUACAGGUACAGAGACAAUGUGGAGGCUAUAUACAGGGGGUACAGGUACAGAGACAAUGUGGAGGCUAUAUACAGGGGGUACAGAGACAAUGUGGAGGCUAUAUACAGGGGGUACAGGUACAGAGACAAUGUGGAGGCUAUAUACAGGGGGUACAGGUACAGAGACAAUGUGGAGGCUAUAUACAGGGGGUACAGGUACAGAGACAAUGUGGAGGCUAUAUACAAGGGGUACCGGUACAGAGUCAAUGUGGAGGCUAUAUACAGGGGGUACAGGUACAGAGUCAAUGUGGAGGCUAUAUACAGGGGGUACAGGUACAGA